AUGAGAACAGAGCCAGUGCACUGGGCAAGGGCUUUUUUUCCAGUGGGAUCCAAUUGUGAGUCUGUUGAUAAUAAUUUGUGUGAAUCCUUCAAUCAUGCAAUUGUUGAAGCAAGGUUUUAUCCAAUAAUUUCAAUGCAAGAAAAAAUAAGGAAAAAGGUUAUGGUUAGAAUUCAGGAACAAAGGGAAAAAGGUCUGAACUUCCAUGGAAAAAUAUGUCCAAGUGCAUUCAAGAAAUUGAAGAGCAGCAUUGCAAGAACCCAGUUCAUGGAAGUACUUUGGAAUGGCAAAGAUGGAUUUGAAGUGAAACUUGUCACUGGGAGAAAAAGGCAGUACACAGUGAGUCUUGACAACUGGACAUGUUCAUGUGGCUACUUCCAGCUAGCAGGUCUACCUUGUUCCCAUGCAAUAACAGCUAUCUACAAGUCUGGAAAAAAAGUGGAAGAUUUCAUUGCCCCUUGCUAUUUUGUUGAUGUUUUCAACAAAAUUUAUGAACAUUGUUUGAUGCCUGUGGAAGGUGAGGAAAUGUGGCCAGUUUUUGAGAAACCUAGGCCUCAAGCUCCAACAUAUGCAACCAUACCAGAUAGCAUGCCAGGCAGGCCUAAGAAUAAUGAUAGAAGGAGAGAAGAAAGUGAGAACCCUAAGCCUAGCAAAAAAAUGACCAAGCAUGGCACUGUAAUUAUUUGCUCAAUGUGUGGCACUGCUGGACACAACAAAACAGGUUGCAAGCAAAACCCAUACAGAGGCAAAAAGAAGAAGACUACCAAAAAAAGGGACACAGCAAAGGUGAGUUUUAUUUUUUCCAUGCAUUUCUCUGGAUUUAAAUGA
RNAcentral lists this ribosomal RNA (825 nucleotides) under Triticum aestivum (bread wheat). Its description in RNAcentral is "partial small subunit ribosomal RNA". Lineage: Eukaryota; Viridiplantae; Streptophyta; Magnoliopsida; Poales; Poaceae. The record is from RNAcentral.